AUUGAACGCUGGCGGCAGGCCUAACACAUGCAAGUCGAGCGGAUGAAGGUAGCUUGCUCCUGGAUUCAGCGGCGGACGGGUGAGUAAUGCCUAGGAAUCUGCCUGGUAGUGGGGGAUAACGUCCGGAAACGGGCGCUAAUACCGCAUACGUCCUGAGGGAGAAAGUGGGGGAUCUUCGGACCUCAUGCUAUCAGAUGAGCCUAGGUCGGAUUAGCUAGUUGGUGGGGUAAAGGCCUACCAAGGCGACGAUCCGUAACUGGUCUGAUAGGAUGAUCAGUCACACUGGAACUGAGACACGGUCCAGACUCCUACGGGAGGCAGCAGUGGGGAAUAUUGGACAAUGGGCGAAAGCCUGAUCCAGCCAUGCCGCGUGUGUGAAGAAGGUCUUCGGAUUGUAAAGCACGUUAAGUUGGGAGGAAGGGCAGUAAGUUAAUACCUUGCUGUUUUGACGUUACCAACAGAAUAAGCACCGGCUAACUUCGUG
Molecule: ribosomal RNA, 484 nt
Filed under: uncultured bacterium
Lineage: Bacteria
Description: partial 16S ribosomal RNA
Rfam family: Bacterial small subunit ribosomal RNA
Source: RNAcentral